Molecule: small nuclear RNA, 340 nt
Filed under: Octodon degus (degu)
Lineage: Eukaryota; Metazoa; Chordata; Mammalia; Rodentia; Octodontidae
Description: 7SK RNA (ENSODEG00000022909.1)
Rfam family: 7SK RNA
About the family: 7SK was discovered as an abundant small nuclear RNA in the mid-70s but a possible function has only recently been suggested. Two independent studies have found that 7SK RNA binds the CDK9/cyclin T complex (known as elongation factor P-TEFb). P-TEFb activates transcription by phosphorylating the C-terminal domain of RNA polymerase II.
Source: RNAcentral
GGAUGUGAGGGUGAUCUGGCUGCGACAUCUGUCACCCCAUUGAUCGCCAGGGUUGAUUCGGCUGAUCUGGCUGGCUAGGCGGGUGUCCCCUUCCUCCCUCAACGAUCCAUGUGCGUCCCUCCCAAAGCUGCGCGCUCAGUCGAAGAGGACGACCACCCCCGAUAGAGGAGGACCGUUCCUCGGUCAAGGGUAUACGAGUAGCUGCGCUCCCCUGCUAGAACCUCCAAACAAGCUCUCAAGGUCCUAGAAUCCCAGCAUUCUUACUCUGGGAGGCUGAGGCAAAAGAUUCUCAGACUCAAGCCUAUCUGGGAAAACUUACUGACUCAGCAAGACCUUGUCC